CAGUAGCCGCGGUAAUACGUAGGGGGCGAGCGUUGUCCGAAGUUACUGGGCGUAAAGCGCGCGUAGGCGGCUUCUUAAGUCUGAGGUGAAAGGUUCAACGCUUAACGUGAACAGUGCCUUGGAUACUGGGGAGCUUGAGUAUGGGAGAGGGCAGUGGAAUGGCUGGUGUAGCGGUGAAAUGCGUAGAUAUCAGUUGGAACACCCAUGGCGAAGGCAGCUGCCUGGCCUAAUACUGACGCUGAGGUGCGAAAGCGUGGGGAGCGAACGGGAUUAGAGACCCGUGUAGUCCCUGUCUCUUAUA
RNAcentral lists this ribosomal RNA (301 nucleotides) under uncultured bacterium. Its description in RNAcentral is "partial 16S ribosomal RNA". It matches the Rfam family "Bacterial small subunit ribosomal RNA", at positions 509 to 808 of the family's 1533-position model. The record is from RNAcentral.